GACAGAGGUGCCGAGCGUUAGGCGGAAUCACUGGGCUUAAAGCGUGUGUAGGCGGACCGUUAAGUACCUUGUGAAAUCCCCCGGCUCAACCGGGGAACGGCUGGGUAUACUGGCGGUCUUGAGCCAUCCAGGGGCAGUCGGAACAGACGGUGGAGCGGUGAAAUGCGUAGAUAUCGUCUGGAACGCCAAAGGUGAAAACAGCUCGCUGGGGUUGUGCUGACGCUGAGACACGAAAGCCAGGGGAGCGAACGGG
RNAcentral lists this ribosomal RNA (253 nucleotides) under uncultured bacterium. RNAcentral's name for it is "partial 16S ribosomal RNA". It matches the Rfam family "Bacterial small subunit ribosomal RNA", at positions 524 to 776 of the family's 1533-position model. The record is from RNAcentral.